RNAcentral lists this ribosomal RNA (257 nucleotides) under uncultured bacterium. Its description in RNAcentral is "partial 16S ribosomal RNA". It matches the Rfam family "Bacterial small subunit ribosomal RNA", at positions 524 to 777 of the family's 1533-position model. The record is from RNAcentral.
UACAGAGGUCCCAAGCGUUUGUUCGGAUUCAUUGGGCGUAAAGGGCGCGUAGGCGGCCCUGUGUGUCGGGUGUGAAAGCCCACCUCUUAAAGGUGGAAUUGCAUUCGAAACUACAGGGCUGGAGUGUCGGAGAGGAUGGCGGAAUUCCUGGUGUAGAGGUGAAAUUCGUAGAUAUCAGGAGGAACACCGGUGGCCGAAGGCGGCCAUCUGGACGACAACUGACGCUGAGGCGGCGAAAGCGUGGGGAUCAAACAGGG